GGGACUUACGCAUGAACCUAUAUUAGGUUAAAACAUCGCAUUAAGCUAAGAGCACCAUACAAAAAGAGUUUGACAUCACAUCCUUAUCCAAAGUCUUAAGCAAAUAGGUUUAUGAGUCACCUCCCUUAUAUGUAGCUCAACAUCUACUCUUGCAUUCAAAGUCAAAUUUUAACUCACACUUGAAAAAUUAACAUCUCUCCAUUAAGUAUAAGACUCUCUAUGUUUGGGAUCCACAACCAAGAACCACUCCUAAUUUCCCACAAUGUUGAACCAAAUAUGAUUCCAACAUUGGGAUUUUGAGGGGACAUUGCAGAAAGAGCAACCAUAGAAGUGGGAAUGAUACCACAUCUUUAUCCAAAAUUUUAAGGAUUAAGUAUAUGAGCAUUUUCACUUAUUUGUUGUUUAAAGUCCACUAUGUUAUCCAAUGUCGGGCUUUAACUGACACUUCAUACAUCAUUCUAUUCUCUCUUGAAAGUAUGACAAAAUUCUAACCUGUGUUUGGCACUAGUGUACAUAUUACUUAAAAAUAAAACACUUUAUUUCCUUAUUUUAUUUCAUUGCCAUCAUAUUAGAGUACAAAAUUAUGAGUUCAAGGUUCAUAAAAAUAAGGGAAAAAUACAAUUAUUUGGUGCAUAAACAAAAACUAAAUGAUGAAUUGUGGAAUAUUAUAACAUUAGGUAUAUUAUAAAAUUAUUUUUCUAGCGCAAGAACUCAAUAGUCUCAAUAAACAUGUCUGAUCUCGGCACAAAAGCCUUUACGACAUGUAACACUAAAUUUUUUUUUUCGUGGACAAUCCUGAUCUGUACGACAAGGAGUGGGCGUAGUAGAAGAACCAAAAUCAAGUAGCGUCAGGACAAGAAACAUGUAAAGAAAUAGAAUCAAAACAUUAAGACAUUUUAUAGUUUUAGCCAUG
RNAcentral lists this long non-coding RNA (913 nucleotides) under Medicago truncatula (barrel medic). Its description in RNAcentral is "lncRNA gene2985". The record is from RNAcentral. Lineage: Eukaryota; Viridiplantae; Streptophyta; Magnoliopsida; Fabales; Fabaceae.